CAGUCGCCGCGGUAAUACGUAGGGUGCAAGCGUUAAUCGGAAUUACUGGGCGUAAAGCGUGCGCAGGCGGUUAUAUAAGACAGAUGUGAAAUCCCCGGGCUCAACCUGGGAACUGCAUUUGUGACUGUAUAGCUAGAGUACGGCAGAGGGGGAUGGAAUUCCGCGUGUAGCAGUGAAAUGCGUAGAUAUGCGGAGGAACACCGAUGGCGAAGGCAAUCCCCUGGGCCUGUACUGACGCUCAUGCACGAAAGCGUGGGGAGCAAACAGGAUUAGAUACCCGGUUAGUCCCUGUCUCUUAUAC
This 301-nucleotide ribosomal RNA is filed under the name uncultured bacterium. RNAcentral's name for it is "partial 16S ribosomal RNA". It matches the Rfam family "Bacterial small subunit ribosomal RNA", at positions 509 to 807 of the family's 1533-position model. The record is from RNAcentral.